Molecule: transfer RNA, 107 nt
Organism: Tilletiaria anomala
Lineage: Eukaryota; Fungi; Basidiomycota; Exobasidiomycetes; Georgefischeriales; Tilletiariaceae
Rfam family: tRNA
About the family: Transfer RNA (tRNA) molecules are approximately 80 nucleotides in length. Their secondary structure includes four short double-helical elements and three loops (D, anti-codon, and T loops). Further hydrogen bonds mediate the characteristic L-shaped molecular structure. tRNAs have two regions of fundamental functional importance: the anti-codon, which is responsible for specific mRNA codon recognition, and the 3' end, to which the tRNAs corresponding amino acid is attached (by aminoacyl-tRNA synthetases). tRNAs cope with the degeneracy of the genetic code in two manners: having more than one tRNA (with a specific anti-codon) for a particular amino acid; and 'wobble' base-pairing, i.e. permitting non-standard base-pairing at the 3rd anti-codon position.
Source: Rfam
GAUCCAUUAGCUCAGUUGGUUUAGCAGCGCUCGACUGUUAGUCUUUGGCGUUCAACUGUACAACAAGCGACAUCGAGAGGUCGCUGGUUCGAGUCCAGCAUGGAUCG